GCCAUGUCCGCACCCGGGAUCUGAACCGGCGAACCCUGGGCCACCAAAGCGGAACGUGCGCACUUAACCACUGUGCCACCAGGCCGGCCCCCCGAACAGUUUUAAAGCUCCUACAGUGUGGCCCAGCUGUGCCAUGGGCUGGUGGGAGCGUGUCUGUCUGCUUCUCUCGCUCCCCCUGGAACAGGUGGCCAGGUGGAUGCUGUCUUGCAUCUUUGUUUCAAUGUGCGUUUGUCUGAUUAUCAGUCAAGUUGGGCAUCUUCCGGUGCAUGAUGGUGGAAAUCUCUGAAGGGGCCGGAUCAACAGCAGUGCUUUCCCUGCCCUCAGCCCCAACGAUUCAGAAGUGAGACCAAAGAGGGAUGGAGGGGCUGAAAGAUCGCCUCUCUGCUUAGUGCAGAGGAAGGUGGAGGAAGCGGCUUCACGGGAGAGCAAAACGGACUGUGAACCGCAGAAAGAAGUCCGGACACGCCCUCUCCACACCCCCGGGUGGCGCAGGCUGGACGGACGGCUGGACAGACAGCAGUGACAGACCCUCCCGGCCGUGGAUGCUGGCUGUCCCGGGAAUCGGCCACCAUCAUCAUCUUCGUCGUAUUUGAGCGAGUUCUCUGUGCUGGGCGUUCUGCCAAGACCUGUGAGCAGAUUAUCUGCCAUUGGGAGAUGCUGGCAGCGGAUGAGGAAGGAGGAAGAGAGAAGCUACCGGCAGCUGGCUGCAGACAUGCACCAGAGUUGGCAGGUGCUGGGGUUGCCGAGCUGGUGGCAAGGAUGGGGUGAUCCCAGAAACCAGCAGCCCAGGCGCGGGCAGUAGAUAUUUCCCUCUCUGAUCCAGGCAGCACCCCUGGUGGGUCUAGAAUCCACCAAUCAAUGUUUCAAACAGCACUGGAGUGGGAGCCAGUCCUGGCUUCAGCCUCCCACCCCUGGGCAUCACUCCAUCUCUCUUUUUUCUGCAUCUUUUCCUUCCCCCGCAGCGUGUCUUCUUCGUUCUUCCAGCCCUUCCAAUAACUUUGUAACCUUUGUAACCGUGUGACAUUCCCUCAUUAAAGAAAGCAUUCUUUCUGU
Molecule: non-coding RNA, 1053 nt
Organism: Equus caballus (horse)
Lineage: Eukaryota; Metazoa; Chordata; Mammalia; Perissodactyla; Equidae
Source: RefSeq, a predicted model, not a curated record